GCCGGCGUAGCUCAGCAGGCAGAGCGAGGCACUCGUAAUGCCUAGGUCGUGGGUUCAAGUCCCACCGCCGGCU
This 73-nucleotide transfer RNA is filed under the name Thermocrinis albus DSM 14484. Its description in RNAcentral is "tRNA-Thr (CGT) (tRNA-Thr-CGT-1-1)". It matches the Rfam family "tRNA". From Rfam's summary of the family: Transfer RNA (tRNA) molecules are approximately 80 nucleotides in length. Their secondary structure includes four short double-helical elements and three loops (D, anti-codon, and T loops). Lineage: Bacteria; Pseudomonadati; Aquificota; Aquificia; Aquificales; Aquificaceae. The record is from Rfam by way of RNAcentral.